This 398-nucleotide ribosomal RNA is filed under the name uncultured bacterium. RNAcentral's name for it is "partial 16S ribosomal RNA". It matches the Rfam family "Bacterial small subunit ribosomal RNA", at positions 523 to 918 of the family's 1533-position model. The record is from RNAcentral.
AUACGUAGGGGGCGAGCGUUGUCCGGAAUGAUUGGGCGUAAAGGGCGCGUAGGCGGCCCGGUAAGUCUGGAGUGAAAGUCCUGUUUUUAAGAUGGGAAUUGCCUUGGAUACUGUCGGGCUUGAGUGCAGGAGAGGUAGGUGGAAUUCCCAGUGUAGCGGUGAAAUGCGUAGAGAUUGGGAGGAACACCAGUGGCGAAGGCGACUUACUGGACUGUAACUGACGCUGAGGCGCGAAAGUGUGGGGAGCAAACAGGAUUAGAUACCCUGGUAGUCCACACUGUAAACGAUGAAUGCUAGGUGUAGGGGGGUAUCGACCCCUUCUGUGCCGCAGUCAACACAAUAAGCAUUCCGCCUGGGGAGUACGGCCGCAAGGUUGAAACUCAAAUGAAUUGACGGGG